Molecule: long non-coding RNA, 1625 nt
Filed under: Sorghum bicolor (sorghum)
Lineage: Eukaryota; Viridiplantae; Streptophyta; Magnoliopsida; Poales; Poaceae
Description: long non-coding RNA (SBIC_LNC008993)
Source: RNAcentral
GGAAACAAAAGCUAGAACUUCUGAGGCUCCAUUUUUCUCAGGGACGGUUGACUGGGGGCUCCGUACGCCAAGCACUUCUGAUAAGCUUCUAGAAAAACUCCAUAGCAUCUAUGUCCUUCUGAGCAGCACUUUACUACACACUGGGGUGUGGGGGGAAAUAGCAAGGGUGAGUUCAUGUCGAACUCAGCAAGCACAGACGAAAAGUAAUGACAUGCAAGGCUUAAAACAAGGUAAAACUGGCUUGGUUUGACUGCGGUAGCAUUUUAGUUGAUCUCUUUUAAUUAUGACAAUUAUUAGAACAACCUAUUACUAAAUAUGAGUAGCAUAAACCCAACCCUUAAUUAGUGUAGGUAGCAAUUAGCAUGUUUUAAAAGACUAUCCUAAUUAUUAUAGUAAUCCAGGGAUUAACCCCAAUUAUUAACACAGGAUAGCAAUCCUGCCAACACGGAAUAGCCAUUCCGCCAAAACACGAGGUAGCAACCUCGCCAAGUUCCAUCUCCAAGUAACCAGUGAAUCCAAUUUGCUCAUCAAGUGAGGGUCUGGGCCGCUCGUGACCGUGAGCACGGCUGAUAUAUCAGUUUUACACUCUGCAGAGGUGUGCACGUUCACUCCAAGUCGUGAUUCCCAUUUGCCCGGGGUCGCGACUCCCCAAAACACUUCCAAGGUGAGCAGGCAGGGUUUCACUACGAGACCUUUCACAGGGUCCAACUAAUAGGAUGCCACUCGUAAGUUUUUGCCGGGGCGCGCGGCAGUCGUGCCCAUAGCAAUGGGACCCCGAACUGACCGACCUCUUAAUAUGAAUACCCAAGCUACAUUCCUUACGCCUACCCGGAAAGUAACACCCUACCAGUGGAGGUCCUGCUAAUUAGUCAAGCCAGAGCCCAUAUAGCUUGGAGCUGCACUGUAAGUCCCAGGGGGCCGCUCCCUGACUAAGUCCUUACGGAGAGCAGAGACGGGUACGCCCGGCAAACCGGACCACCAACGGUACCCGCUCCCCCUUUCACCACCAUCAUCACGAUGCUCGUAAGCAUCCAUCAUCGCCAUCACCACAGUGACCAAAGGUUCAGCACAAUUUAAGCAUCAAGUUGAAUAGAGAGUAAUUCUUGUUUGAACAUGUGUAUAAGAUGAGUAGGGCAGCUAAGCAAACCUAGUAUGGCCUAGUCUACCCAUAUACAUAACCCCAGGUGAACAAGGAAUAGUAAGUAAAGCUAGUCAUGUCCUUAGGGUUUUGCAUUCAUUGGACACAUGCAUAUAAAGUAAAUGACAUUAAUGAGUAGGUUCAAAAUGAUCAAACGGUGUCUGCACUUGCCUUAAUUCCCAGUGUUUAACUGCUCAGAAAUCUUUGACUUCCUUCUUCUGAUCUCCAACUUCUGCUUCGACUGUCGGUCCUCAGCUCCUGGUCUUCACUAUUGACGAACCACGCUUCUUCUACUCGUAGCAACCAAGCAACACAAACAGACAAACAAACAAUCAUGACUAAGAACAAGCAUCAAUCAAAAGAAAAGCUUAGAAAGAGCGCACUAAACGACACGACUUAUUGCUACGAUCGUGACAACGCAAGAACGAUUGAGAACGGAGCUAUCGUUAAACGGACACAACUUUCGAGGUUCGUAGUGUAACGGAGA